CCUACGGGCGGCAGCAGUGGGGAAUAUUGGGCAAUGGGCGCAAGCCUGACCCAGCAACGCCGCGUGAAGGAAGAAGGCUUUCGGGUUGUAAACUUCUUUUCUCAGGGACGAAGCAAGUGACGGUACCUGAGGAAUAAGCCACGGCUAACUACGUGCCAGCAGCCGCGGUAAUACGUAGGUGGCAAGCGUUAUCCGGAUUUACUGGGGGUAAAGGGCGUGUAGGAGGGGACGCAAGUCAGAUGUGAAAACCACGGGCUCAAACUGUGGCCUGCAUUUGAAACUGUGUUUCUUGAGUACUGGAGAGGCAGACGGAAUGCCUGGUGUAGCGGUGAAAUGCGUAGAUAUUGGGCGGAACACCAGUGGCGAAGGCGGUGUGCUGGAGAGAGACUGACGCUGAGGCGCGAAAGCGUGGGGAGCGAACAGGAUUAGAUACCCGGGUAGUC
This 443-nucleotide ribosomal RNA is filed under the name uncultured bacterium. Its description in RNAcentral is "partial 16S ribosomal RNA". It matches the Rfam family "Bacterial small subunit ribosomal RNA", at positions 338 to 795 of the family's 1533-position model. The record is from RNAcentral.